GAUGAAGAACGCAGCGAAAUGCGAUAAGUAAUGUGAAUUGCAGAAUUCAGUGAAUCAUCGAGUUUUUGAACGCAUAUUGCGCCCUCUGGUAUUCCGGGGGGCAUGCCUGUUCGAGCGUCAUUAAAUAACCCUCAAGCAUAGCUUGGUGUUGGGCUUUUUUACGUCCUUGACUGGGAUGGGCCUAAAAAUUAGUGGCGAUGGCUUUUUUACUUUCAAGCGUAGUAAAUCUCGUCUUGCUAAAGAGGAAAAAGAUUUUUUUUCUGCCAAAAAUUUUAACAUUUAAAGUUGACCUCGGAUCAGGUAAGAUUACCCGCUGAACUUAAGCAUAUCAAUAAGCGGAGGA
Molecule: unclassified non-coding RNA, 343 nt
Filed under: soil metagenome
Description: partial contains 5.8S ribosomal RNA, internal transcribed spacer 2, and large subunit ribosomal RNA
Rfam family: 5.8S ribosomal RNA (bases 1-120)
Source: RNAcentral